GGAAAUGUAGUUAAGUGGUAAAGUGCUUGCCUAGCAUGCAUGAGGUCCUGGGUUGAAUCCCCAAUACCACCA
This 72-nucleotide transfer RNA is filed under the name Heterocephalus glaber (naked mole-rat). It matches the Rfam family "tRNA". From Rfam's summary of the family: Transfer RNA (tRNA) molecules are approximately 80 nucleotides in length. Their secondary structure includes four short double-helical elements and three loops (D, anti-codon, and T loops). Lineage: Eukaryota; Metazoa; Chordata; Mammalia; Rodentia; Bathyergidae. The record is from Rfam by way of RNAcentral.